RNAcentral lists this ribosomal RNA (477 nucleotides) under Orthopyxis caliculata. RNAcentral describes it as "partial 16S ribosomal RNA". It matches the Rfam family "Bacterial large subunit ribosomal RNA", at positions 1808 to 2468 of the family's 2925-position model. The record is from RNAcentral. Lineage: Eukaryota; Metazoa; Cnidaria; Hydrozoa; Leptothecata; Campanulariidae.
CAAAAACAUAGCCCUAGAUAUAAUCUAAGGUGUAACCUGCCCAGUGGUUUUAAAGUAAAAAAGAUUAAAAUACCUUUAAUAAAACUAAAAGGACGCGGUAACCUUGACCGUGAUAAUGUAGCAUAAUCACUCGCCAUUUAAUUGAUGGAUAGUAUGAAUGGUUGAACGAAUAUUUCACUGUCUUAAAAAAAAUCAAAUAAAAUUAAAAUAAUAGUUAAGAUGCUAUUUUAAAUUGUAAGACGAAAAGACCCUAUAGAGCUUAACUACAACUUUCUUUUUUAUUAUGAAAACAAUAAUUUCACAACUAAGAAAGUGGGUAGUUUAGUUGGGGCGACUACCUUCUAUAUAUAACGAAGGUAAGCAAAGUUAAUAAAUAACUUAUUAUAUAAAUAAAAUUUUUAAUAAUUACAAAAGUAGGCUAUAAUGACCCGUUAAUCUUUAAUAAAAAAAUUAACGAUCAAUUAAUAAAAGCUACCU